CUUGCCGUGAAACAAAGUGGUAAUCUCUACCAGCUACUUCGUGGUCUCGCCUACUCCGAGUUGUAUCUAGGCAAACAAAAUCAGGCUUGCCACCAAUUUGGAUCUUCUUGACUGAUGACAUGAAGUAUAUCGCCUUUUUGAAAAGAUAGACCUAACUCUCGACACGGAACAUAAGGGUCAUCUGAGGGGUCAUAGUCAAAAUGAGCUUUCACAUGGAUCUAAAAGAUAAAAAGGGCUUUGAAAUUUAACUAGUUGUACGAUUAUAAUUUUUGCUAACAAUUUUUCUGCAUAUCAAAAAAAUGUGUUACACUUGCAGCAUUAAAGGUAGGUAAGAAUUCACAUGAAUCUUACUGAGAGCUAAGUUAUUCCUAUACUAUUUCCUCCAAUAUACCUCUGUAAGAUGUAACAAAGUUGUCUUAAUUUUAAUAAAGUAAAAAGAAUUAAUAUUAA
This is a long non-coding RNA of Lynx canadensis (Canada lynx), 450 nucleotides long. RefSeq lists it as uncharacterized. NCBI's taxonomy places the organism in Eukaryota, Metazoa, Chordata, Mammalia, Carnivora, Felidae. The record is from RefSeq and is a predicted model, not a curated record. The transcript has 3 exons.